GACGAACGCUGGCGGCGUGCUUAACACAUGCAAGUCGAACGGUGAAGCGCCUUCCUUUUUGGUUGGUGUGGAUGAGUGGCGAACGGGUGAGUAACACGUGAGUAACCUGCCCCCUUCUUCUGGAUAACCGCAUGAAAGUGUGGCUAAUACGGGAUCUUCUGGUUCUGUCGCAUGAUGGGUCUGUGAAAGAUAUUGUUUCGGUGGUGGAUGGGCUCGCGGCCUAUCAGGUUGUUGGGGGGGUGAUGGCCUACUAAGGCGGUGACGGGUAGCCGGCCUGAGAGGGUGGACGGUCACACUGGGAGUGAGACACCGCCGAGACUCCUACGGGAGGCAGCAGUGGAGAAGAGUGCACAAUGGGGGCAAGGGUGAUGCAGCGGGGACGCGGGAGGGAUGGAGGCCUUCGGGUUGUGAACCUCUUUCGCCAGUGAAGCAGGCCUGCCUCGUUUGUGGGUGGGUUGACGGUAGCUGGAUAAGAAGCGCCGGCUAACUACGUG
RNAcentral lists this ribosomal RNA (494 nucleotides) under uncultured bacterium. Its description in RNAcentral is "partial 16S ribosomal RNA". It matches the Rfam family "Bacterial small subunit ribosomal RNA", at positions 28 to 507 of the family's 1533-position model. The record is from RNAcentral.